This 253-nucleotide ribosomal RNA is filed under the name uncultured bacterium. RNAcentral describes it as "partial 16S ribosomal RNA". It matches the Rfam family "Bacterial small subunit ribosomal RNA", at positions 524 to 776 of the family's 1533-position model. The record is from RNAcentral.
UACGGAGGGUGCAAGCGUUGUCCGGAUUUAUUGGGUUUAAAGGGUGCGUAGGCGGCUUUAUAAGUCCGUGGUGAAAGCCAACAGCUCAACUGUUGAACUGCCAUGGAUACUGUAAGGCUUGAGUACAGACGAGGUAGGCGGAAUGGAUGCUGUAGCGGUGAAAUGCAUAGAUAGCAUCCAGAACCCCGAUUGCGUAGGCAGCUUACUAGGCUGUAACUGACGCUGAGGCACGAAAGCGUGGGGAGCGAACAGG